GACGAACGCUGGCGGCGUGCUUAGCACAUGCAAGUCGAACGGAAAGGCCCUGCUUGCAGGGUACUCGAGUGGCGAACGGGUGAGUAACACGUGGGUGAUCUGCCCUGCACUUCGGGAUAAGCCUGGGAAACUGGGUCUAAUACCGGAUAGGAGCCAUUUUUAGUGUGAUGGUUGGAAAGUUUUUUCGGUGUAGGAUGAGCUCGCGGCCUAUCAGCUUGUUGGUGGGGUAAUGGCCUACCAAGGCGGCGACGGGUAGCCGGCCUGAGGGGGUGGACGGCCACAUUGGGACUGAGAUACGGCCCAGACUCCGACGGGAGGCAGCAGUGGGGAAUAUUGCACAAGGGGCGCAAGCCUGAUGCAGAGACGCCGCGUGGGGGAUGACGGCCUUCGGGUUGUAAACUCCUUUCGCUAGGGACGAAGCUUUUUGUGACGGUACCUAGAUAAGAAGCACCGGCUAACUACGUG
Molecule: ribosomal RNA, 465 nt
Filed under: uncultured bacterium
Lineage: Bacteria
Description: partial 16S ribosomal RNA
Rfam family: Bacterial small subunit ribosomal RNA
Source: RNAcentral